CCUACGGGCGGCAGCAGUGGGGAAUAUUGGGCAAUGGGCGCAAGCCUGACCCAGCAACGCCGCGUGAAGGAAGAAGGCUUUCGGGUUGUAAACUUCUUUUCUGAGGGACGAAGAAAGUGACGGUACCUCAGGAAUAAGCCACGCCUAACUACGUGCCAGAAGCAGCGGCAAUACGUAGGUGGCAGGCGUUAUCCGGAUUUAUUGGGUGUAAAGGGCGUGUAGGCGGGAAGGUAAGUCAGAUGUGAAAAUUCAGGGCUCAACCCUGAGCCUGCAUUUGACACUGGUUUGCUUGAGUGCUGGGGAGGCAAGCGGAAUUCGGGGUGUAGCGGUGAAAUGCGUAGAUAUACGGAAGAACACCGGUGGCGAAGGCAGAUUGCGGGAGAGCAACUGACGCUGAGGCGCGAAGGCGUGGGGAGCAAACAGGAUUAGAUACCCCAGUAGUC
This 443-nucleotide ribosomal RNA is filed under the name uncultured bacterium. Its description in RNAcentral is "partial 16S ribosomal RNA". It matches the Rfam family "Bacterial small subunit ribosomal RNA", at positions 338 to 795 of the family's 1533-position model. The record is from RNAcentral.